Non-coding RNA from Vicugna pacos (alpaca), 989 nucleotides. Lineage: Eukaryota; Metazoa; Chordata; Mammalia; Artiodactyla; Camelidae. The record is from RefSeq and is a predicted model, not a curated record.
GAAAGAUUACUUCCGUCCGGGCUCUGGCCUCUCUCUGGAGCCGGCUCGUUGGGGGCUGGGGAGCGGGGUGUGCGGGGCUCGGGGGCCGCGCCUUGCCACCUGCAGCGCCCGGGGCGGGCGGGACGCGCUCGGCCCGGUCGGGGGCUCACGCGGGGCAUCCUUGCAGGUGGGAGCCGAGAGCAUUUCCUAGCGCCCAAGCCAUGGUGGCCAAACAGCGGAUCCGGAUGGCCAACGAGAAGCACAGCAAGAACAUCACCCAGAGGGGGAACGUAGCCAAAACUCUGAGGCCGCAAGAAGAGAAAUACCCUGUGGGACCGUGGCUGCUGGCCCUCUUUGUUUUUGUUGUCUGUGGCUCAGGAAAGGUGCAUCGUCCAGAGGUUCCAGAGGUCCAGCCACCCUGGGCCUGCUCCCAGGUCGACCGCAUAAACACUGGCCUUUCCUGGAGAAACCCUUCUGUUUCACCACGAAGGAAAGACUGAGGACAUGCCUCUGCUCUGGAACUCCUGCCUCAGGAUCUGAGAUGGACAAUCUGGAAAAGAUGUCUCAUCAGCCAUUGGCUCCCUCAAGCUAUCUUCCAGAUCAUUCAGAGCAUAAGGAUGGGCAUGUGAGCAGGUUUGACACCACCCCCUCCCGCUGGAGGGUGGAGGACCACUUCAGCUCUUAGCCGGGUAUCUGUGGGAAGCCAACAAGCCACCCAGAAAAGAAAAAAAAGGCUCCCUCAAUUGUCCCCUGAUCACUUCAUCGUGGAUGUCAGACCAAAUUGCCUUCUCACAGUUCAUCUCGGUGCAUCCGUGUUCUCGAGCAGAAAGGACCUUGUGCUUUGCAGUUGGCAGGGUUGGUGGCUCCCCGAGUGUCUGCAGUGGUUUCGCCUUGGGUUUCACUGAUGUGUGCAUGGGGGCCUCUGAAUGAUCACUGCUUUACUUUCUAUGGAUACAAUCUCUCCUCCACUGGGAAUUGCUUUUACAAAUAAAUGUCUUUGUUCAACUGUG